This 467-nucleotide ribosomal RNA is filed under the name uncultured bacterium. RNAcentral describes it as "partial 16S ribosomal RNA". It matches the Rfam family "Bacterial small subunit ribosomal RNA", at positions 28 to 507 of the family's 1533-position model. The record is from RNAcentral.
GAUGAACGCUGGCGGCGCGCCUAACACAUGCAAGUCGAACGAUUAAAGCACCUUCGGGUGUGUAUAAAGUGGCGAACGGCUGAGUAACACGUGGGCAACCUGCCCCUUUCAUUGGGAUAGCCACGGGAAACCGUGGAUAAUACCGAAUACUUCGAGACUUCCGCAUGGAAGACUCGAGAAAGCUCCGGCGGAGAGGGAUAGGCCCGCGGCCUGUUAGCUUGUUGGUGGGGUAACGGCCUACCAAGGCAAUGAUGGGUAGCUGGGUUGAGAGACCGACCAGCCAGAUUGGGACUGAGACACGGCCCAGACUCCUACGGGAGGCAGCAGUGGGGAAUCUUGCACAAUGGGCGAAAGCCUGAUGCAGCGACGCCGCGUGCGGGAUGAAGGCCUUCGGGUUGUAAACCGCUUUCAGCAGGGACGAGGCGAAAGUGACGGUACCUGCAGAAGAAGCCCCGGCUAACUACGUG